This 253-nucleotide ribosomal RNA is filed under the name uncultured bacterium. RNAcentral describes it as "partial 16S ribosomal RNA". It matches the Rfam family "Bacterial small subunit ribosomal RNA", at positions 524 to 776 of the family's 1533-position model. The record is from RNAcentral.
CACGGGGGGAGCAAGCGUUGUUCGGAAUCACUGGGCGUAAAGGGCGUGUAGGCGGUUCGGUAAGUGAGAUGUGAAAUCCUCCGGCUCACCCGGAGACCUGCAUCUCAAACUGCCGGACUAGAGUAUGGGAGAGGACAAGGGAAUUCCUGGUGUAGCGGUGAAAUGCGUAGAUAUCAGGAGGAACACCGGUGGUGUAGACGGCUUUCUGGACCGUAACUGACGCUGAGACACGAAAGCGUGGGUAGCAAACAGG